RNAcentral lists this long non-coding RNA (643 nucleotides) under Cyanistes caeruleus (blue tit). RNAcentral describes it as "lncRNA (ENSCCEG00000009928.1)". Lineage: Eukaryota; Metazoa; Chordata; Aves; Passeriformes; Paridae. The record is from RNAcentral.
CUUAUGGAAUGCUCAGUCUCAUCGCCGUGACUCCUCCAGGAACUCUGGUGGGUAUUGCUAUGAUAAACAGUUGGACUCUGGAUAACUGAAAACUCGGUUUUGGAGUUUUACAGCCUGGAGAAGUCAGGGGGAGGCUGAGAGGAGAAGGAGUGUAUGAAACGUGGCUGGUUCUUGGCAUGCAUGCUGAAAACUUUGAAGUCUGAAGGGACUUGGGUGUCUGCCUAAGCCAGAUAACAAGUCUGGGAGAAGGGAAGAGAGUUUUGUAUGCAGAUUUGGCCAACAGCUUCUAUGUGAGGAGGAGACCAGUGGAAAAGAAAAUACGAAGCCAAAGGAAGAUGCAUCAAGGGACACUCAAAGAAUCAGCAACUGCAACUUUGGAUAUCAGCAUCUCUCUCUGGGUCUUUGCCAAAUCUAGCUGAGCACUGAGGCCAUGUCAAGCAUUAGGUAACAAGGGCAGUAAGUGGGAGCUUACUCUCCUUUCAUUAGGUCUGAGAUCCCUCAGGGCUCUGCAGGGACUGUGCCCUGAAGAAUUGCUGGGAGUGCAGAAGGGUCUUGCUCAACCUAAUGGUAUUGACUGCUGUUUGCUCUGUCUCGCCAGAGCAGACAGGAGAAAAGCAUGGUGUCAGCACCUGGCCUGUCUCAG